This 402-nucleotide ribosomal RNA is filed under the name Escherichia coli. RNAcentral's name for it is "bacterial SSU rRNA". It matches the Rfam family "Bacterial small subunit ribosomal RNA", at positions 1 to 399 of the family's 1533-position model. Lineage: Bacteria; Pseudomonadati; Pseudomonadota; Gammaproteobacteria; Enterobacterales; Enterobacteriaceae. The record is from RNAcentral.
AAAUUGAAGAGUUUGAUCAUGGCUCAGAUUGAACGCUGGCGGCAGGCCUAACACAUGCAAGUCGAACGGUAACAGGAAGCAGCUUGCUGCUUCGCUGACGAGUGGCGGACGGGUGAGUAAUGUCUGGGAAACUGCCUGAUGGAGGGGGAUAACUACUGGAAACGGUAGCUAAUACCGCAUAACGUCGCAAGACCAAAGAGGGGGACCUUCGGGCCUCUUGCCAUCGGAUGUGCCCAGAUGGGAUUAGCUAGUAGGUGGGGUAACGGCUCACCUAGGCGACGAUCCCUAGCUGGUCUGAGAGGAUGACCAGCCACACUGGAACUGAGACACGGUCCAGACUCCUACGGGAGGCAGCAGUGGGGAAUAUUGCACAAUGGGCGCAAGCCUGAUGCAGCCAUGCCG